This 253-nucleotide ribosomal RNA is filed under the name uncultured bacterium. RNAcentral's name for it is "partial 16S ribosomal RNA". It matches the Rfam family "Bacterial small subunit ribosomal RNA", at positions 524 to 776 of the family's 1533-position model. The record is from RNAcentral.
UAUGGGGGGGGCAAGCGUUGUUCGGAAUUACUGGGCGUAAAGGGCUCGUAGGCGGCCAACUAAGUCAGACGUGAAAUCCCUAGGCUCAACCUAGGAACUGCGUCUGAUACUGGAUGGCUUGAAUCCGGGAGAGGGAUGCAGAAUUCCAGGUGUAGCGGUGAAAUGCGUAGAUAUCUGGAGGAAUACCGGUGGCGAAGGCGGCAUCCUGGACCGGCAUUGACGCUGAGGAGCGAAAGCCAGGGGAGCAAACGGG